This 571-nucleotide long non-coding RNA is filed under the name Selaginella moellendorffii. Its description in RNAcentral is "long non-coding RNA (SMOE_LNC000836)". The record is from RNAcentral. Lineage: Eukaryota; Viridiplantae; Streptophyta; Lycopodiopsida; Selaginellales; Selaginellaceae.
AAUCCAAUACUUGUUAAACUGAACAGCCAUUAGCUGGGCAUGGUUAUAGAGGUCAACUGCCAGUAUAGCCGAUUCCAAAUCCAAGAAGAAGAAGGUAUCUACAUCUAUACCGGCAGUUGACUUUUGCAACCAAUAGCUAUCCAGUUCAAUAAGAUCUAGAUUUAGUAUAGACAAGAGUUGCAAAAGAAAUUGAAGAACAACCUUUAGUGCCCUAGGGCUUGAAAUUUUGGUUAAAAUGCUUAUGAAAUAAUGUGCCAUCUCCAUUCGUGUGUGAUCUGAAGAAAAAUCAUCCAAAAGAGUGAUUUUAGAAAAUAAAUAUUUUUUCACACUAAACAUUUCUACCAACACUUCUCUCACUCUUAAAAUCACUGAAGCAUAAAAACUCUAGAAAUCCAAAAACAAACUCCAUAACACUUUCAUCACUCAAAACUUCCAAAUCACUCUCUCUUUCAUCACUCAAAACUUCCAAAUCACUCUCUCCUCGUCGCUCUCCUCUCUCGAAACUUCUCUUCUCUCUCUAAAAAUGCCCUAACCCUGGCGGCGAUAGGGCGUAAAAUAUCCGAGCGCACCA